UACGGAGGGUGCGAGCGUUGUCCGGAAUCAUUGGGCGUAAAGAGCUCGUAGGCGGCCUGUCGCGUCGGAUGUGAAAGCCCGGGGCUUAACCCCGGGUCUGCAUUCGAUACGGGCAGGCUAGAGUGUGGUAGGGGAGAUCGGAAUUCCUGGUGUAGCGGUGAAAUGCGCAGAUAUCAGGAGGAACACCGGUGGCGAAGGCGGAUCUCUGGGCCAUUACUGACGCUGAGGAGCGAAAGCGUGGGGAGCGAACAGG
RNAcentral lists this ribosomal RNA (253 nucleotides) under uncultured bacterium. RNAcentral's name for it is "partial 16S ribosomal RNA". It matches the Rfam family "Bacterial small subunit ribosomal RNA", at positions 524 to 776 of the family's 1533-position model. The record is from RNAcentral.